CUUGAAUCCAAUUCAAAAAUUCAUCCAUGAAAUCACCCUCCCUAGCUCUUUUUCUCCGCCACUCUUUCAAAUAAUUAGAGGCCAUAUUCAAUUUGGCUGGAAAGAAAACACAUGGAAAAAAGAAAGUAGAAAAAUAAUAAUAUAAAUAACAGUGUGAACUUGUAGAUCAACCAUUAUAAAAUUGUUUUGUUUUUUUAGAACAAUUGGCAACUUGUGAAACAGGACAUAAUGCAUAAUGAAUAUCUUUUACUCUUGGUAAAAAAUAUGUCGAUACCAGUACUUUUAGAUUUUUACUAUUAGCAUUUCCUAUAGCACUGCUAAUGCACUAACAAAUUACUAUUGGAAUAAUUCAACUAAUGCGUCCCAUUUCUACCACACAUAGUGAAAAUACAAUCUAUGACAAUUACAGUUAAACACAAAUUUAAUUAUAUGAAAAAAUACCACUGGAUAAACAAAAACAACAGUACUGGCAUCAAAAUAGGCUUCAUUUUCUAAUUGAAUUGGAUAGCCUAACUAGCAGCUUUUAAACUUGGCUCCAACAGAGAGAGCAGGCCCUUAUUUACUUUCAUGACAACACACGUUAGCAUGGACUAUUUAAUGCUGGCUAAACUAGCCACAAGCUAGCCCUCGUAGUAGCAACCAGGCUACAUGCGAACUCGAGUUUAACAUUUGCUGUAAAUGCAUUUCACCGUCACGCAUCAUGAUGCACGACGGUGGGAGGACCAAAGCUUGCAAAAAUAAACAUUUUCUAUAAUAUCUCCUUCAGCCCCCACCUCUUUUCUGCAGAAUGUAUAACUCUCAAACUCAGUGACUCCUGGAACUUCUGGUGUACUCCGACGGUCGUGAGGUCGAGUGUGUACAAAGCGCAAUGCUUCAGCCGGAUGUUGUGCGGUCCACAAUUUGAAGCCGUUUUCAUGUUUUGGUCCGAUUAUGGUCCGAUCUCCAAACGGGUGUUAAGAUGGGCUCUUGCAGAGCUACCAAAUACUUUUUGUCGCUCAUCUCGUAGUAUUGCGGCUAUGCCGAUAACUUUUAUCAGGGACUACUUUGCUCUUGGCGGAAUUAGAAUCUACCAGAAGUGGUUGCACGGUGGAUCACGUGAGCGUGCUCCACCAACAAGGUGGCUGGAUUAUUGUCACGGUGGCAGCCGGUGUUACCGAGACGGAUAAAACACAUGAAAUCUAAGAAUUAAAUUGAAUUUCAGCGACCAACUUUGUUGUCGAGUACUCAGCAGGACCCAAGCUUUAAGAUCCGAAGUUGUUUUUUAUUUUAUUUUUCUGCCGUAUAUGCGUUUCGACCGGACAUGGCGAAAAGACUGGUUACGCUCAGGAGUAUGAUAGUCCCAUAGAUUGAGAUCAGUUCUGCAACGUUCAGUUAUCAUUUUCAAUAAUCAACUCUUGAAGUGCAGAUUAAAAUCGAUUGUCUAGAUUCGGUCUAUAUGUAGACGUUGAAAUGACGUAUAAAUUUAUACGUCUAAAUCACGUCUAGAAAUAGACUGAAUCUAGACGUUGAAAUGAAGUAUAAAUGUAUACGUGUAAAUGACGUCUACAUCUAUACUAUGCUGCAUAUCUCUCCACGGUAUCAUAAGUAAUGUAAUCCAGUAUUUAGAGGUCAGUUAUGCACAUUACAGUUGUUUAUUGCAUAAAUAGUUAUCGAAAAAUGAAGUUGAGGGCGAAGUAUAAAUCACGUCUAGAAAUAGACUGAAUCUAGACGUUGAAAUGAAGUAUAAAUUUAUACGUGUAAAUGACGUCUACAUCUAUACUAUGCUGCAUAUCUCUCCACGUAUCAUAAGUAAUGUAAUCCAGUAUUUAGAGGUCAGUUAUGCACAUUACAGGUGUUGAUUGCAUAAAAAGUUAUCGAAAAAUGAAGUUGAGGGCGAAGUAUAAAUCACGUCUAGAAAUAGACUGAAUCUAGACGUUGAAAUGAAGUAUAAAUUUAUACGGCUAAAUCACGUCUAGAAAUAGACUGAAUCUAGACGUUGAAAUGAAGUAUAAAUUUAUACGUCUAAAUCACGUCUAGAAAUAGACUGAAUCUAGACGUUGAAAUGAAGUAUAAAUUUAUACGUGUAAAUGACGUCUACAUCUAUCCUAUGCUGCAUAUCUCUCCACGGUAUCAUAAGUAAUGUAAUCCAGUAUUUAGAGGUCAUUUAUGCACAUUACAGUUGUUUAUUGCAUAAAAAGUUAUCGAAAAAUGAAGUUGAGGGCGAAGUAUAAAUCACGUCUAGAAAUAGACUGAAUCUAGACGUUGAAAUGAAGUAUAAAUUUAUACGUCUAAAUCACGUCUAGAAAUAGACUGAAUCUAGACGUUGAAAUGAAGUAUAAAUUUAUACGUCUAAAUCACGUCUACAUCUAUACUAUGCUGCAUAUCUCUCCACGAUAUCAUAAGUAAUGUAAUUCAGUAUUUAGAGGUCAGUUAUGCACAUUACAGUUGUGUAUUGCAAAAAUAGUUAUCGAAAAAUGAAGUUGAGGGCGAAGUAUAAAUCACGUCUAGAAAUAGACUGAAUCUAGACGUUGAAAUGAAGUAAAAAUUUAUACGUCUAAAUCACGUCUAGAAAUAGACUGAAUCUAGACGUUGAAAUGACGUAUACAUUUAUACGUCUAAAUCACGUCUAGAAAUAGACUGAAUCUAGACGUUGAAAUGAAGUAUAAAUUUAUACGUCUAAAUCACGUCUAGAAAUAGACUGAAUCUAGACGUUGAAAUGAAGUAAAAAUUUAUACGUCUAAAUCACGUCUAGAAAAGACUGAAUCUAGACGUUGAAAUGAAGUAUAAAUUUAUACGUCUAAAUCACGUCUAGAAAUAGACUGAAUCUAGACGUUGAAAUGACGUAUACAUUUAUACGUCUAAAUCACGUCUAGAAAUAGACUGAAUCUAGACGUUGAAAUGAAGUAUAAAUUUAUACGUCUAAAUCACGUCUAGAAAUAGACUGAAUCUAGACGUUGAAAUGACGUAUACAUUUAUACGUCUAAAUCACGUCUAGAAAUAGACUGAAUCUAGACGUUGAAAUGAAGUAUAAAUUUAUACGUGUAAAUGACGUCUACAUCUAUACUAUGCUGCAUAUCUCUCCACGGUAUCAUAAGUAAUGUAAUCCAGUAUUAAAAGGUCAGUUAUGCACAUUACAGUUGUUUAUUGCAUAAAUAGUUAUCGAAAAAUGAAGUUGAGGGCGAAGUAUAAAUCACGUCAAGAAAUAGACUGAAUCUAGACGUUGAAAUGAAGUAUAAAUGUAUACGUCUAAAUCACGUCUAGAAAUAGACUGAAUCUAGACGUUGAAAUGAAGUAUAAAUUUAUACUUGUAAAUGACGUCUACAUCUAUACUAUACUGCAUAGCCUAUCUCUCCACGGUAUCAUAAGUAAUGUAAUCCAGUAUUUAGAGGUCAAUUAUGCACAUUACAGUUGUUUAUUGCAUAAAUAGUUAUCGAAAAAUGAAGUUGAGGGCGAAGUAUAAAUCACGUCUAGAAAUAGACUGAAUCUAGACGUUGAAAUGAAGUAAAAAUUUAUACGUCUAAAUCACGUCUAGAAAAAGACUGAAUCUAGACGUUGAAAUGAAGUAUAAAUUUAUACGUCUAAAUCACGUCUAGAAAUAGACUGAAUCUAGACGUUGAAAUGACGUAUACAUUUAUACGUCUAAAUCACGUCUAGAAAUAGACUGAAUCUAGACGUUGAAAUGAAGUAUAAAUUUAUACGUCUAAAUCACGUCUAGAAAUAGACUGAAUCUAGACGUUGAAAUGACGUAUACAUUUAUACGUCUAAAUCACGUCUAGAAACAGACUGAAUCUAGACGUUGAAAUGAAGUAUAAAUUUAUACGUGUAAAUGACGUCUACAUCUAUACUAUGCUGCAUAUCUCUCCACGGUAUCAUAAGUAAUGUAAUCCAGUAUUAAAAGGUCAGUUAUGCACAUUACAGUUGUUUAUUGCAUAAAUAGUUAUCGAAAAAUGAAGUUGAGGGCGAAGUAUAAAUCACGUCUAGAAAUAGACUGAAUCUAGACGUUGAAAUGAAGUAAAAAUUUAUACGUCUAAAUCACGUCUAGAAAAAGACUGAAUCUAGACGUUGAAAUGAAGUAUACAUUUAUACGUCUAAAUCACGUCUAGAAACAGACUGAAUCUAGACGUUGAAAUGAAGUAUAAAUUUAUACGUGUAAAUGACGUCUACAUCUAUACUAUGCUGCAUAUCUCUCCACGGUAUCAUAAGUAAUGUAAUCCAGUAUUUAGAGGUCAGUUAUGCACAUUACAGUUGUUUAUUGCAUAAAUAGUUAUCGAAAAAUGAAGUUGAGGGCGAAGUAUAAAUCACGUCUAGAAAUAGACUGAAUCUAGACGUUGAAAUGACGUAUACAUUUAUACGUCUAAAUCACGUCUAGAAAAAGACUGAAUCUAGACGUUGAAAUGAAGUAUAAAUUUAUACGUCUAAAUCACGUCUAGAAAUAGACUGAAUCUAGACGUUGAAAUGACGUAUACAUUUAUACGUCUAAAUCACGUCUAGAAAAAGACUGAAUCUAGACGUUGAAAUGAAGUAUAAAUUUAUACGUCUAAAUCACGUCUAGAAAUAGACUGAAUCUAGACGUUGAAAUGACGUAUACAUUUAUACGUCUAAAUCACGUCUAGAAAUAGACUGAAUCUAGACGUUGAAAUGAAGUAUAAAUUUAUACGUCUAAAUCACGUCUAGAAAUAGACUGAAUCUAGACGUUGAAAUGACGUAUACAUUUAUACGUCUAAAUCACGUCUAGAAAUAGACUGAAUCUAGACGUUGAAAUGAAGUAUAAAUUUAUACGUGUAAAUGACGUCUACAUCUAUACUAUGCUGCAUAUCUCUCCACGGUAUCAUAAGUAAUGUAAUCCAGUAUUAAAAGGUCAGUUAUGCACAUUACAGUUGUUUAUUGCAUAAAUAGUUAUCGAAAAAUGAAGUUGAGGGCGAAGUAUAAAUCACGUCAAGAAAUAGACUGAAUCUAGACGUUGAAAUGAAGUAUAAAUUUAUACUUGUAAAUGACGUCUACAUCUAUACUAUACUGCAUAGCCUAUCUCUCCACGGUAUCAUAAGUAAUGUAAUCCAGUAUUUAAAAGGUCAGUUAUGCACAUUACAGUUGUUUAUUGCAUAAAUAGUUAUCGAAAAAUGAAGUUGAGGGCGAAGUAUAAAUCACGUCUAGAAAUAGACUGAAUCUAGACGUUGAAAUGAAGUAUAAAUUUAUACGUGUAAAUGACGUCUACAUCUAUACUAUGCUGCAUAUCUCUCCACGGUAUCAUAAGUAAUAUAAUCCAGUAUUAAAAGGUCAGUUAUGCACAUUACAGUUGUUUAUUGCAUAAAAAGUUAUCGAAAAAUGAAGUUGAGGGUGAAGUAUAAAUCACGUCUAGAAAUAGACUGAAUCUAGACGUUGAAAUGAAGUAUAAAUGUAUACGUGUAAAUGACGUCUACAUCUAUACUAUGCUGCAUAUCUCUCCACGGUAUCAUAAGUAAUGUAAUCCAGUAUUUAGAGGUCAGUUAUGCACAUUACAGUUGUUUAUUGCAUAAAUAGUUAUCGAAAAAUGAAGUUGAGGGCGAAGUAUAAAUCACGUCUAGAAAUAGACUGAAUCUAGACGUUGAAAUGAAGUAUAAAUUUAUACGUCUAAAUCACGUCUAGAAAUAGACUGAAUCUAGACGUUGAAAUGAAGUAUAAAUUUAUACGUCUAAAUCACGUCUAGAAAUAGACUGAAUCUAGACGUUGAAAUGAAGUAUAAAUUUAUACGUCUAAAUCACGUCUAGAAAUAGACUGAAUCUAGACGUUGAAAUGACGUAUACAUUUAUACGUCUAAAUCACGUCUAGAAAUAGACUGAAUCUAGACGUUGAAAUGAAGUAUAAAUUUAUACGUGUAAAUGACGUCUACAUCUAUACUAUGCUGCAUAUCUCUCCACGGUAUCAUAAGUAAUGUAAUCCAGUAUUAAAAGGUCAGUUAUGCACAUUACAGUUGUUUAUUGCAUAAAUAGUUAUCGAAAAAUGAAGUUGAGGGCGAAGUAUAAAUCACGUCAAGAAAUAGACUGAAUCUAGACGUUGAAAUGAAGUAUAAAUUUAUACUUGUAAAUGACGUCUACAUCUAUACUAUACUGCAUAGCCUAUCUCUCCACGGUAUCAUAAGUAAUGUAAUCCAGUAUUUAGAGGUCAGUUAUGCACAUUACAGUUGUUUAUUGCAUAAAUAGUUAUCGAAAAAUGAAGUUGAGGGCGAAGUAUAAAUCACGUCUAGAAAUAGACUGAAUCUAGACGUUGAAAUGAAGUAUAAAUUUAUACGUGUAAAUGACGUCUACAUCUAUACUAUGCUGCAUAUCUCUCCACGGUAUCAUAAGUAAUAUAAUCCAGUAUUAAAAGGUCAGUUAUGCACAUUACAGUUGUUUAUUGCAUAAAUAGUUAUCGAAAAAUGAAGUUGAGGGUGAAGUAUAAAUCACGUCUAGAAAUAGACUGAAUCUAGACGUUGAAAUGAAGUAUAAAUGUAUACGUGUAAAUGACGUCUACAUCUAUACUAUGCUGCAUAUCUCUCCACGGUAUCAUAAGUAAUGUAAUCCAGUAUUUAGAGGUCAGUUAUGCACAUUACAGUUGUUUAUUGCAUAAAUAGUUAUCGAAAAAUGAAGUUGAGGGCGAAGUAUAAAUCACGUCUAGAAAUAGACUGAAUCUAGACGUUGAAAUGAAGUAUAAAUUUAUACGUCUAAAUCACGUCUAGAAAUAGACUGAAUCUAGACGUUGAAAUGAAGUAUAAAUUUAUACGUCUAAAUCACGUCUAGAAAUAGACUGAAUCUAGACGUUGAAAUGAAGUAUAAAUGUAUACGUGUAAAUGACGUCUACAUCUAUACUAUGCUGCAUAUCUCUCCACGGUAUCAUAAGUAAUGUAAUCCAGUAUUUAGAGGUCAGUUAUGCACAUUACAGUUGUUUAUUGCAUAAAUAGUUAUCGAAAAAUGAAGUUGAGGGCGAAGUAUAAAUCACGUCUAGAAAUAGACUGAAUCUAGACGUUGAAAUGAAGUAUACAUUUAUACGUCUAAAUCACGUCUACAUCUAUACUAUGCUGCAUAUCUCUCCACGAUAUCAUAAGUAAUGUAAUCCAGUAUUAAAAGGUCAGUUAUGCACAUUACAGUUGUUUAUUGCAUAAAUAGUUAUCGAAAAAUGAAGUUGAGGGCGAAGUAUAAAUCACGUCUAGAAAUAGACUGAAUCUAGACGUUGAAAUGAAGUAUAAAUUUAUACGUCUAAAUCACGUCUAGAAAUAGACUGAAUCUAGACGUUGAAAUGAAGUAUAAAUUUAUACGUGUAAAUGAUGUCUACAUCUAUACUAUGCUGCAUAUCUCUCCACGGUAUCAUAAGUAAUGUAAUCCAGUAUUUAGAGGUCAGUUAUGCACAUUACAGUUGUUUAUUGCAUAAAUAGUUAUCGAAAAAUGAAGUUGAGGGCGAAGUAUAAAUCACGUCUAGAAAUAGACUGAAUCUAGACGUUGAAAUGAAGUAUAAAUUUGGCGAGUACAAAUGGCAAUGAUGCGUCCGUUGUCACAGAAACAUAUAAUUAACCUCUG
This is a non-coding RNA of Xyrichtys novacula (pearly razorfish), 7505 nucleotides long. NCBI's taxonomy places the organism in Eukaryota, Metazoa, Chordata, Actinopteri, Labriformes, Labridae. The record is from the annotation of a GenBank genome assembly.